AGCUUGUUCAUUUUUAACUGAGGCUUCUUUAUACACACCAGGUGUGGUCUUCACUUUUAUCAUCUCGUUAUUGUGAAGUCUGUGAUCUGCUCCAGGGAUUAAUUAGAGCUGGGGCCCAUCUUUAGCUGGACUUGCCAAGCCCUCUUCCCUUAUAAUUAAAAGUUCCAGUAGCUGCAAGUAGGCAUCUAGGAGAACAAGUUUUGCACACUUUUCUGAGAUACUCACGUGAUCUCCAGGCCACUUUGCCAUAUCUGAAGAUAUACCUGGCUUGAAAU
Manacus vitellinus (golden-collared manakin) is the source of this 275-nucleotide long non-coding RNA. RefSeq lists it as uncharacterized. Lineage: Eukaryota; Metazoa; Chordata; Aves; Passeriformes; Pipridae. The record is from RefSeq and is a predicted model, not a curated record. The transcript is spliced from 3 exons.